GUGCUUGCUUCGGUGGCACAUAUACUAAUAUUGGAAUGAUACAGAGAAGAUUAGCAUGGCCCCUGUGCAAGGAUGACAUGCAAAUUCAUGAAGUGUUCCAUAUUUUU
Small nuclear RNA from Fukomys damarensis (Damara mole-rat), 107 nucleotides. Lineage: Eukaryota; Metazoa; Chordata; Mammalia; Rodentia; Bathyergidae. The record is from Ensembl.